Molecule: signal recognition particle RNA, 269 nt
Filed under: Saimiri boliviensis boliviensis (Bolivian squirrel monkey)
Lineage: Eukaryota; Metazoa; Chordata; Mammalia; Primates; Cebidae
Description: Metazoan signal recognition particle RNA (ENSSBOG00000007058.1)
Rfam family: Metazoan signal recognition particle RNA
About the family: The signal recognition particle (SRP) is a universally conserved ribonucleoprotein.
Source: RNAcentral
GCCCGGUGUGGUGGCGCUGCCUGUAGUCCCAGCUACUCGGGAGGCUGAGGUGGGAGGAUCGUUUGUGCCCAGGAGUUCUGGACUGCAGUGCGCUAUGCCAAUUGGGUGUCUGCACUGAGUUCGGCAUCAAUAUGGUGACCUCCCGGGAGCCGGGACCAGCCCAGGUCGGAAAUGGAGCAGGUCAAAACUCCCAUGCUGAUCAGUAGUGGGUUUGUGCCUGUGAAUAGCUGCUGCACUCCAGCCUGGGCAACAUAGCGAGACCCGUCUCU